Molecule: ribosomal RNA, 3011 nt
Filed under: Salmonella enterica subsp. enterica serovar Saintpaul
Lineage: Bacteria; Pseudomonadati; Pseudomonadota; Gammaproteobacteria; Enterobacterales; Enterobacteriaceae
Description: 23S ribosomal RNA
Rfam family: Bacterial large subunit ribosomal RNA
Source: RNAcentral
GGGUUGUGAGGUUAAGCGACUAAGCGUACACGGUGGAUGCCCUGGCAGUCAGAGGCGAUGAAGGACGUGCUAAUCUGCGAUAAGCGCCGGUAAGGUGAUAUGAACCGUUAUAACCGGCGAUUUCCGAAUGGGGAAACCCAGUGUGACUCGUCACACUAUCAUUAACUGAAUCCAUAGGUUAAUGAGGCGAACCGGGGGAACUGAAACAUCUAAGUACCCCGAGGAAAAGAAAUCAACCGAGAUUCCCCCAGUAGCGGCGAGCGAACGGGGAGGAGCCCAGAGCCUGAAUCAGCAUGUGUGUUAGUGGAAGCGUCUGGAAAGGCGCGCGAUACAGGGUGACAGCCCCGUACACAAAAGCGCAUGUGCUGUGAGCUCGAUGAGUAGGGCGGGACACGUGGUAUCCUGUCUGAAUAUGGGGGGACCAUCCUCCAAGGCUAAAUACUCCUGACUGACCGAUAGUGAACCAGUACCGUGAGGGAAAGGCGAAAAGAACCCCGGCGAGGGGAGUGAAAAAGAACCUGAAACCGUGUACGUACAAGCAGUGGGAGCACCCUUUGGGGUGUGACUGCGUACCUUUUGUAUAAUGGGUCAGCGACUUAUAUUCUGUAGCAAGGUUAACCGAAUAGGGGAGCCGGAGGGAAACCGAGUCUUAAUUGGGCGUUAAGUUGCAGGGUAUAGACCCGAAACCCGGUGAUCUAGCCAUGGGCAGGUUGAAGGUUGGGUAACACUAACUGGAGGACCGAACCGACUAAUGUUGAAAAAUUAGCGGAUGACCUGUGGCUGGGGGUGAAAGGCCAAUCAAACCGGGAGAUAGCUGGUUCUCCCCGAAAGCUAUUUAGGUAGCGCCUCGUGAAUUCAUCUCCGGGGGUAGAGCACUGUUUCGGCUAGGGGGCCAUCCCGGCUUACCAACCCGAUGCAAACUGCGAAUACCGGAGAAUGUUAUCACGGGAGACACACGGCGGGUGCUAACGUCCGUCGUGAAGAGGGAAACAACCCAGACCGCCAGCUAAGGUCCCAAAGUCAUGGUUAAGUGGGAAACGAUGUGGGAAGGCCCAGACAGCCAGGAUGUUGGCUUAGAAGCAGCCAUCAUUUAAAGAAAGCGUAAUAGCUCACUGGUCGAGUCGGCCUGCGCGGAAGAUGUAACGGGGCUAAACCAUGCACCGAAGCUGCGGCAGCGAACGUAUCACCCAAGACAACUUUACGGAGUUGACGAUUGACGGAGCGAAGCGACGUCAAAGCGUUCAUUAAAGUCGAGUUGGCUUAGGGAUACGUUCGUUGGGUAGGGGAGCGUUCUGUAAGCCUGUGAAGGUGUGUCGUGAGGCAUGCUGGAGGUAUCAGAAGUGCGAAUGCUGACAUAAGUAACGAUAAAGCGGGUGAAAAGCCCGCUCGCCGGAAGACCAAGGGUUCCUGUCCAACGUUAAUCGGGGCAGGGUGAGUCGACCCCUAAGGCGAGGCCGAAAGGCGUAGUCGAUGGGAAACGGGUUAAUAUUCCCGUACUUGGUGUUACUGCGAAGGGGGGACGGAGAAGGCUAUGUUGGCCGGGCGACGGUUGUCCCGGUUUAAGCGUGUAGGUGUGUGUUCCAGGUAAAUCCGGUUCACUUUAACACUGAGGCGUGACGACGAGGCACUACGGUGCUGAAGCAACAAAUGCCCUGCUUCCAGGAAAAGCCUCUAAGCAUCAGGUAACACGAAAUCGUACCCCAAACCGACACAGGUGGUCAGGUAGAGAAUACCAAGGCGCUUGAGAGAACUCGGGUGAAGGAACUAGGCAAAAUGGUGCCGUAACUUCGGGAGAAGGCACGCUGACACGUAGGUGAAGUGAUUUACUCAUGGAGCUGAAGUCAGUCGAAGAUACCAGCUGGCUGCAACUGUUUAUUAAAAACACAGCACUGUGCAAACACGAAAGUGGACGUAUACGGUGUGACGCCUGCCCGGUGCCGGAAGGUUAAUUGAUGGGGUCAGCGCAAGCGAAGCUCCUGAUCGAAGCCCCGGUAAACGGCGGCCGUAACUAUAACGGUCCUAAGGUAGCGAAAUUCCUUGUCGGGUAAGUUCCGACCUGCACGAAUGGCGUAAUGAUGGCCAGGCUGUCUCCACCCGAGACUCAGUGAAAUUGAACUCGCUGUGAAGAUGCAGUGUACCCGCGGCAAGACGGAAAGACCCCGUGAACCUUUACUAUAGCUUGACACUGAACAUUGAGCCUUGAUGUGUAGGAUAGGUGGGAGGCUUUGAAGUGUGGACGCCAGUCUGCAUGGAGCCGACCUUGAAAUACCACCCUUUAAUGUUUGAUGUUCUAACGUGGACCCGUUACCCGGGUUGCGGACAGUGUCUGGUGGGUAGUUUGACUGGGGCGGUCUCCUCCUAAAGAGUAACGGAGGAGCACGAAGGUUGGCUAAUCCUGGUCGGACAUCAGGAGGUUAGUGCAAUGGCAUAAGCCAGCUUGACUGCGAGCGUGACGGCGCGAGCAGGUGCGAAAGCAGGUCAUAGUGAUCCGGUGGUUCUGAAUGGAAGGGCCAUCGCUCAACGGAUAAAAGGUACUCCGGGGAUAACAGGCUGAUACCGCCCAAGAGUUCAUAUCGACGGCGGUGUUUGGCACCUCGAUGUCGGCUCAUCACAUCCUGGGGCUGAAGUAGGUCCCAAGGGUAUGGCUGUUCGCCAUUUAAAGUGGUACGCGAGCUGGGUUUAGAACGUCGUGAGACAGUUCGGUCCCUAUCUGCCGUGGGCGCUGGAGAACUGAGGGGGGCUGCUCCUAGUACGAGAGGACCGGAGUGGACGCAUCACUGGUGUUCGGGUUGUCAUGCCAAUGGCACUGCCCGGUAGCUAAAUGCGGAAGAGAUAAGUGCUGAAAGCAUCUAAGCACGAAACUUGCCCCGAGAUGAGUUCUCCCUGAGACUUUAGGUCUCCUGAAGGAACGUUGAAGACGACGACGUUGAUAGGCCGGGUGUGUAAGCGCAGCGAUGCGUUGAGCUAACCGGUACUAAUGAACCGUGAGGCUUAACCUUACAACGCCGAAG